AUGUCGAUCUUCGCAGAUGAUGUGAUCAUUUUUAUCAAACCGGUGGACCUCGAGCUAACAACCACAGCAAGGAUCUUGGAGAUGUAUGGCAUGGCGUCCGGCCUUCGGGUUAAUAUGCAGAAUACCUCAGCCAUGCCAAUACGAUGCUCGGAGGAAGAGGUGGGGCGCGUGGAGGGUAUCCUGGGAUGCAGCAUUGGAUCCUUCCCAUGCAAAUAUCUCGGCCUCCCCCUAUGUCUGAAGAAACCCUCUGCGGCACAACUAAGCGGAUUGGUGGAGGAGCUGGCUACUCGCCUGCCCACCUGGAAGGCAGCGACCCUACCUAAAAGUGGCAGACUCAUUUUGGUCCUCUUGGUUCUCUGCUCGAUCCCUCUACAUGCGAUGAUUGCUCUGGACUUACCCAUGAAGACGAUAGCGGCCAUGAACAAGAUAAUCAGAGGGGUUUUGUGGUGCGGUAAAGCUCAAGCUAAUGGAGGGCACUGCUCUGUGGCUUGGGAGGAGGUGUGCAUGCCACGUUGGGCAGGAGGCCUGGGAAUACCGCGCCUCAGGUGGCUCAAUGUCGCUAUGCAGGCUCGCUGGGCCUGGUUACAUCGGGUGGACCGAGAUCGACCUUGGGCAGAGUUCAAGUUUGCUCUCCCCAAGGCAUCUCUAGUGGUGGUUGCAGCAGCCACCAAGGUUUUUUUUUUGAAACUGUCACGGGGGGGGGGGACUCCCCACCUGAAUAUAUUUCAAAAGUAUUUUGUUACAAACUUAGACAAGGCGAGAGGUAAAAUAGUCCCGCCACAGGCCGGCGUGAACUUUGUCCUCCACCUUCUUAAGGCGAUGAGACCACAAUGUGAGAUCCGCGAUGAUGCCCCUAGUAACAUCAUGGGGUGA
RNAcentral lists this ribosomal RNA (873 nucleotides) under Triticum aestivum (bread wheat). Its description in RNAcentral is "partial small subunit ribosomal RNA". The record is from RNAcentral. Lineage: Eukaryota; Viridiplantae; Streptophyta; Magnoliopsida; Poales; Poaceae.